This 253-nucleotide ribosomal RNA is filed under the name uncultured Curvibacter sp. RNAcentral's name for it is "partial 16S ribosomal RNA". It matches the Rfam family "Bacterial small subunit ribosomal RNA", at positions 524 to 776 of the family's 1533-position model. The record is from RNAcentral. Lineage: Bacteria; Pseudomonadati; Pseudomonadota; Betaproteobacteria; Burkholderiales; Comamonadaceae.
UACGAAGGGUGCAAGCGUUACUCGGAAUUACUGGGCGUAAAGCGUGCGCAGGCGGUUAUGUAAGACAGAUGUGAAAUCCCCGGGCUUAACCUGGGAACUGCAUUUGUGACUGCAUAGCUAGAGUACGGCAGAGGGGGAUGGAAUUCCGCGUGUAGCAGUGAAAUGCGUAGAUAUGCGGAGGAACACCGAUGGCGAAGGCAAUCCCCUGGGCCUGUACUGACGCUCAUGCACGAAAGCGUGGGGAGCAAACAGG